Molecule: microRNA precursor, 100 nt
Organism: Ananas comosus (pineapple)
Lineage: Eukaryota; Viridiplantae; Streptophyta; Magnoliopsida; Poales; Bromeliaceae
Source: Rfam
UGCGAUAAGCGAUAUUGGUGAGGUUCAAUCUGAUGGUGGGCUUUACAUGCAGCUGUAAACCGAUCUCGGAUUGAGCCGCGCCAAUAUCUCUUUCUUUCUC